AACGAACGCUGGCGGCAUGCCUAACACAUGCAAGUCGAACGAGACCUUCGGGUCUAGUGGCGCACGGGUGCGUAACGCGUGGGAACCUGCCCUUAGGUUCGGAAUAACUCCCUGAAAGAGGUGCUAAUACCGGUUAAUGUCUUCGGACCAAAGAUUUAUCGCCUUUGGAUGGGCCCGCGUUGGAUUAGCUAGUCGGUAGGGUAAAAGCCUACCAAGGCCACGAUCCAUAGCUGGUCUGUGAGGAUGAUCUGCCACACUGGGACUGAGACACGGCCCAGACUCCUACGGGAGGCAGCAGUGGGGAAUAUUGGACAAUGGGCGAAAGCCUGAUCCAGCAAUGCCGCGUGAGUGAUGAAGGCCUUAGGGUUGUAAAGCUCUUUUACCCGGGAUGAUAAUGACAGUACCGGGAGAAUAAGCUCCGGCUAACUACGUG
This 433-nucleotide ribosomal RNA is filed under the name uncultured bacterium. RNAcentral describes it as "partial 16S ribosomal RNA". It matches the Rfam family "Bacterial small subunit ribosomal RNA", at positions 29 to 507 of the family's 1533-position model. The record is from RNAcentral.